This 319-nucleotide ribosomal RNA is filed under the name uncultured eukaryote. RNAcentral's name for it is "partial 18S ribosomal RNA". It matches the Rfam family "Eukaryotic small subunit ribosomal RNA", at positions 1470 to 1796 of the family's 1831-position model. The record is from RNAcentral.
CCCUUAGAUGUUCUGGGCCGCACGCGCGCUACACUGAUGCAUUCAACGAGCACUCGCUUGGCCGAGAGGUCAGGCUAAUCUUUGAACGUGCAUCGUGCUGGGGAUAGAUGAUUGCAAUUAUUCAUCUUCAACGAGGAAUUCCUAGUAAACGCAAGUCAUCAGCUUGCAUUGAUUACGUCCCUGCCCUUUGUACACACCGCCCGUCGCACCUACCGAUUGAAUGGUCCGGUGAAAUCUCGGGACGGCGGCUUGGUCGCUUGCGUCCGACUGCUGAAACUUGAUUAAACCAUAUCAUUUAGAGGAAGGUGAANUCGUANCA